CGCCUCUUGAACCCUAUAAGAGGUCCAGCCUGCCCAUUGAUAAAUUUAACGGCCGCGGUAUCCUGACCGUGCGAAGGUAGCACAAUCACUUGUUCUCUAAAUAAGGACUAGUAUGAACGGCAUCACGAGGGCUUAACUGUCUCCCCCUUCUUAUUAGUGAAACUGAUCUUCCCAUGAAAAAGCGGGAAUAAAAAUAUAAGACGAGAAGACCCCAUGGAGCUUUAAACUUAAACUAACUGUUCCUCCCCCCACCACAGUAAAAAACAAUCCUAGUUUUUAAGUUUUUGGUUGGGGCAACCGCGGAGUAUAACUAACCCUCCGCAAUGGAUGAAUAUAUCUUCUUAACAAAGAAUAACCCUUCUUAGCAUCAAAAAACUGAUAUUUCUUGACCCAUCACACAGUGUUUGAUCAAUGAACCAAGUUACCCUGGGGAUAACAGCGCAAUCCAUUAUUAGAGCUCCCAUCGACUAAUGGGUUUACGACCUCGAUGUUGGAUCAGGGUAUCCAAGUGGUGCAGCCGCUACUAAAGGUUCGUUUGUUCAACGAUUAAAACCCU
This 556-nucleotide ribosomal RNA is filed under the name Hemisus guineensis. RNAcentral's name for it is "partial 16S ribosomal RNA". It matches the Rfam family "Bacterial large subunit ribosomal RNA", at positions 1831 to 2597 of the family's 2925-position model. Lineage: Eukaryota; Metazoa; Chordata; Amphibia; Anura; Hemisotidae. The record is from RNAcentral.